UUCUGAAUAUUAAGUGGUUUCUCUCAAGAGCAAGGUUUUUAAGAGUUUGUUGUCAGGCAAGUNAAAGGACCCUGGACACUCCAUACAUUCUGGAAGAUGUCCUACUGGUUCAUUUUAGAAGAUUAGUUGAGCCCUGAGUGGAAAGUUUGUUGGAGGCCUUGAUACUGGUUCAGUUUUGCUGCAAAAUGCUGCAGAUUUGCAUUUCAAAUUUGCAAAUGCAGAUCCCCUCUGGGCAUCCUGUAGUCCUAGAAGUUCUCCACUUCUGUUGCCCUGUGUGGGUUAUAUUUGGAAGUAAGUGGUGGAAGAAAUGAUGGACUAUGUGGAGGAUGUUGCCAAUAGAUGUGAAUGUGAGUUGACAGAAUGAUAGAAACUAAGAAAAAAAGAAAUCUCAAAAUCUGAAUAAAUUAAUAGCUCCUAAAUAUCA
This 424-nucleotide long non-coding RNA is filed under the name Vulpes vulpes (red fox). RNAcentral's name for it is "lncRNA (ENSVVUG00000010602.1)". Lineage: Eukaryota; Metazoa; Chordata; Mammalia; Carnivora; Canidae. The record is from RNAcentral.